UGUGGGCUGUAUAGAUUUUAAUAUAAAAUAAACGAUUUAUAAGAAUGCAUUGAAAAAAACAACAUCAUGCAGCCAAUGAAAAAUAACUAAAACUGUGAUUUCUCGUCUUACCUACGUUCUCGCCGGUCAAUUCUUGUUUUUUAAUAGCCUCGGGUGAAAGGUCUGAAAAAUAUUAUUAGUAAAAAAAAAAUGUGUGCAAAGGUUAGAUGUGCAACAAAAAAAAAAACAUGGCGGAAAGUAAUAAAAUAUGACGAUGUCUGUUAGUGAACAUAGAGACAACACAAAUGAUGGAAUCGUUAUCUGAAACCGGCCACAACCCUUGACCUGAAACGAAAACCAGCCCGUGGCGAGGCCUAGCGCCUUAAAAAGCUGAGAAAUAAGAAGAAAUUAAUACAAAAGACAUGUGCAAUUCUUCAUAAAAAAAAAUCUAACUUGAUUCAAAUGGGCCAACAAGAAAUUAGAUAUUCAAUGUUACAAAUGGAAAUCACCAAUCAUGAAUCUUUUAACCCCUACC
Danaus plexippus (monarch butterfly) is the source of this 514-nucleotide long non-coding RNA. RefSeq lists it as uncharacterized. The record is from RefSeq and is a predicted model, not a curated record. NCBI's taxonomy places the organism in Eukaryota, Metazoa, Arthropoda, Insecta, Lepidoptera, Nymphalidae. The transcript is spliced from 3 exons.